This 968-nucleotide small RNA is filed under the name Drosophila mojavensis. RNAcentral describes it as "GI26708". The record is from RNAcentral. Lineage: Eukaryota; Metazoa; Arthropoda; Insecta; Diptera; Drosophilidae.
ACUAAUAAUACUACUAAUAUUGUGUGUGUGUGUGUAUGUGUUGUACUAUAUUUACAGGUUGUUUUUCAUGUGAUGGCUGCUCGACCGGUGGAGGGGGGACGAACACGAACAUCAGAGGCUGGCAUUCAAGGAGUGAUGCAGCAGAUCAGUGGCGACAUCCAGCGGGACAUCCAAGGAGUACAGGUAAGUAGUACAAGUGGAUUCAUCAGGUGAGUAUAUAUUUAGAGUAGCAAUUGUGUGUCCAACUCUAAUUCUGUUGUUUACUUGCAGCAUCAACUGGAAUUUUAAAAGUGAGACUGGCAGUGGAACCAGCCAUGUAAUCAGCAACAGCACUGGCACUUGGGUGGCCAGCACCAGCUGCUGCAUUGACUGCAGUUGCAUCCACAACUGCAAUGGAUAUGGACAUCGACAUCUUCAUCAGCGGAGGCGGAGGCGGCGUCCAGAGUGAAGUUGCCAGCCCGGAGACUGGUAUGAGGCGCCAGCAGUGCAAUAUGCACCACCAACACCAGCAUCGGCAACAGGAUCAUCGGCGUCAUCAACAUCAGUGGAAAUGGCGCAGACAUCAAGUGGCUUCAGCAUCAUUAGCUCUGGUGCGAGCAAAUGCAAAAUGUCGUGUCAUGGGCAAAUGCAUGCAGCCUGUCAUCUAGCUGCAAGCCCAUACACAUUGAAUGGCCAAUUGUCGCCCACAAUAAGACGACAAGUAUCGAGAGUCUCUGUCUGCACCCACAAUGACAGCCUGCCGGUCAUCAAUAUGGACACGUAGCAGGGAGUGCAGAGCAAUUACUAUUCGAUUGAUCAGUCAUCAUCUUCGCCGCAGAAGCAGCAUACUGGACACCAUCGACGCCAACAACAACAACCAGGAUGUGCAGCAACAGGCAACAGCGAGUCAUCUUUGUGCGUAUAUUGAUGUAUUGUGACCAAAAGCAGUAAUCACGUCGAUUUAAAGCUAAUGAACAAUUGUGUUUGUA